UCCGAUAUGGUGUAGUGGCCAACAUGAUGCCCUCUCAUUCUCCGGAGAGGUUAGGCAUAGCCCCGAGUUCGAUUCUCGGUUUCGGAA
Molecule: transfer RNA, 87 nt
Filed under: Colletotrichum orbiculare MAFF 240422
Lineage: Eukaryota; Fungi; Ascomycota; Sordariomycetes; Glomerellales; Glomerellaceae
Description: tRNA-Glu for anticodon CUC
Rfam family: tRNA
About the family: Transfer RNA (tRNA) molecules are approximately 80 nucleotides in length. Their secondary structure includes four short double-helical elements and three loops (D, anti-codon, and T loops). Further hydrogen bonds mediate the characteristic L-shaped molecular structure. tRNAs have two regions of fundamental functional importance: the anti-codon, which is responsible for specific mRNA codon recognition, and the 3' end, to which the tRNAs corresponding amino acid is attached (by aminoacyl-tRNA synthetases). tRNAs cope with the degeneracy of the genetic code in two manners: having more than one tRNA (with a specific anti-codon) for a particular amino acid; and 'wobble' base-pairing, i.e. permitting non-standard base-pairing at the 3rd anti-codon position.
Source: Rfam by way of RNAcentral